UGAGGAAGGAGAAGUCGUAACAAGGUUUCCGUAGGUGAACCUGCGGAAGGAUCAUUGUCGUAUCCCGGCCCCAACGGCACACUCGCGAACUGUCCCAUCCGUCCUCGGUAGGUAGGUAGGACGCCCGCCCCCGCGCGGGACGCCGACCGACCGGCCGACGAAACUUUUCCGGCGCGGUCCGCGCCAAGGAACACCGACCGACGUGAACGCCCGCGCCGUCCUCGCUCCGUGCCUGGCCGCGCGGGCGCGCUCCCACGUACAGAAAUCUUAACGACUCCCGGCAACGGAUAUCUAGGCUCUCGCAUCGAUGAAGAACGUAGCGAAAUGCGAUACGUGGUGUGAAUUGCAGAAUCCCGUGAACCAUCGAAUCUUUGAACGCAAGUUGCGCCCGAGGCCGUCAGGCCGAGGGCACGCCUGCCUGGGCGUCACGCCCCGCGUCGCUCCCACUCCACCCCGCCCCGCGCGGCGGCGGCCGUGGGACGCGGAGAUUGGCCUACCGUGCUGCGGCGCGGCGGGCCGAAGUGCUCGAACCCUUCCCCGUGCGUGGGACGAGAACACGGCGAGUGGUGGAUUGGAUCGGACCGACCGACUCAUCGUCGCCGCGCCCUUCUCGCCCCGCCGCCCGGCGGGCGGGAUUCACGAAACCCAGCCGCGAGCGGCCGUUCGGCGACGCGCCGACGCCCGCUCCGACCGCGACCCCAGGUCAGGCGGGGCCACCCGCUGAGUUUAAGCAUAUCAAUAAGCGGAGGAA
RNAcentral lists this ribosomal RNA (751 nucleotides) under Galantharum kishii. Its description in RNAcentral is "eukaryotic LSU rRNA". The stretch from base 273 to 428 matches the Rfam family "5.8S ribosomal RNA". The record is from RNAcentral. Lineage: Eukaryota; Viridiplantae; Streptophyta; Magnoliopsida; Alismatales; Araceae.